RNAcentral lists this ribosomal RNA (519 nucleotides) under uncultured eukaryote. Its description in RNAcentral is "bacterial SSU rRNA". It matches the Rfam family "Eukaryotic small subunit ribosomal RNA", at positions 1161 to 1645 of the family's 1831-position model. The record is from RNAcentral.
AGGGCACCACCAGGAGUGGAGCCUGCGGCUUAAUUUGACUCAACACGGGAAAACUUACCCGGCCCGGACACUGGAAGGAUUGACAGAUUGAGAGCUCUUUCUUGAUUCAGUGGGUGGUGGUGCAUGGCCGUUCUUAGUUGGUGGAGCGAUUUGUCUGGUUAAUUCCGAUAACGAACGAGACUCUAGCCUACUAAAUAGACUGUUCAGCUUUAUAGCCGGAAUCACCGUAUGCAUGGCUCUCGGGUUGUGUAUGCGGCUCUGGUGACGCUGGCAGUGCUUCUUAGAGGGACAGGCGGCGGUUCAGCCGCACGAAACAGAGCAAUAACAGGUCUGUGAUGCCCUUAGAUGUCCGGGGCUGCACGCGCGCUACACUGAAGUGAUCAGCGUGCAAUUCAAGUUUGGUGAUCUGUCAAGAUUGCCCAACCCGUUGAACCUUCUUCGUGAUUGGGAUAGGGGAUUGUAAUUAUUCCCCUUGAACGAGGAAUUCCCAGUAAGCGCAAGUCAUAAGCUUGCGUUGAU